This 267-nucleotide long non-coding RNA is filed under the name Capsicum annuum. Its description in RNAcentral is "long non-coding RNA (CANN_LNC013212)". The record is from RNAcentral. Lineage: Eukaryota; Viridiplantae; Streptophyta; Magnoliopsida; Solanales; Solanaceae.
GAUGAUAAGUGAAGUGGGGCGGCUGUUAAUGUGGAAAUUGAAAAAGUAGAAAGGUAGACAAGUGAGAGGACAAGGUUUAGAACGAAGGGCAACAGUUGGUAACGAACGAAACAAAAGGGACAUGGCCGAUUUUUGGCUAAUGCUCUUUCUCUUCUGUGGAUAAAUUGAAGAAGAUUGGUCCCAACGGCUAAACAAGUGCUUUGCUUCUACGCUUUUUGUUUAUUUAUAUUUUCUUCUGCUUCUUUCUUGUGUGAAGGGGCCACAACU